RNAcentral lists this transfer RNA (73 nucleotides) under Pangasianodon gigas (Mekong giant catfish). RNAcentral describes it as "tRNA-Val". It matches the Rfam family "tRNA". From Rfam's summary of the family: Transfer RNA (tRNA) molecules are approximately 80 nucleotides in length. Lineage: Eukaryota; Metazoa; Chordata; Actinopteri; Siluriformes; Pangasiidae. The record is from RNAcentral.
UCCCUGGUGGCCUAAUGGUUAAGGCUCCUGUGUGCUCACUACCAUGGCCCAGGUUCGAUCCCUGGGCAGGGAA